UGGUUACCUGGUCAAGCAAAAGCUGAUUUCACCUCCUCAUACAAUGGAAGUAGCUCCAUGGGCCACUGAUCAUCACAGGAGCUGACUCAUUUUCAGCUUAUUCCCUUGAUACUCGUCGAGGCCCCCUUCUUCGCCACGCA
Molecule: long non-coding RNA, 140 nt
Filed under: Mus musculus (house mouse)
Lineage: Eukaryota; Metazoa; Chordata; Mammalia; Rodentia; Muridae
Also listed under: 1 other name
Description: predicted gene, 48571
Source: RNAcentral